UGAUGUUAUGAUGAUGGGCAAAGUAAUGUUCAACUGCUCUGAAUGGGCUGAAGGAAAAUAGCCUCUCUGAACAUCU
Molecule: small nucleolar RNA, 76 nt
Filed under: Octodon degus (degu)
Lineage: Eukaryota; Metazoa; Chordata; Mammalia; Rodentia; Octodontidae
Description: Small nucleolar RNA Z40 (ENSODEG00000021669.1)
Rfam family: Small nucleolar RNA Z40
About the family: Z40 is a member of the C/D class of snoRNA which contain the C (UGAUGA) and D (CUGA) box motifs. Most of the members of the box C/D family function in directing site-specific 2'-O-methylation of substrate RNAs.
Source: Rfam by way of RNAcentral